UNCAUAGCCUCACUAUGAGUAGCACUGUGAU
This 31-nucleotide non-coding RNA is filed under the name Rattus norvegicus (Norway rat). Lineage: Eukaryota; Metazoa; Chordata; Mammalia; Rodentia; Muridae. The record is from RNAcentral.